CCAAUAGCGUAUAUUAAAGUUGUUGCAGUUAAAAAGCUCGUAGUUGAAUUUCGGAGUUUGUCGGUUGGUCGGGCUUCACUGUCCGCACUGGCCUGAUGGAUUCCUACCUUCUGAAUAACCAGCAUGCUAUUAAGUUAGUGCGUUGGGGAAGCAGAGCUAUUACCUUGAAAAAAUUAGAGUGCUUAAAGCAGGCUUUAUGCUUGAAUAGAUUAGCAUGGAAUAAUAAAAUAGGACGGCAUGGUUCUAUUUUGUUGGUUUCUAGGAUCACCGUAAUGAUUAAUAGGGAUAGUUGGGGGCAUUAGUAUUCAAUUGUCAGAGGUGAAAUUCUUGGAUUUAUUGAAGACUAACUUCUGCGAAAGCAUUUGCCAAGGAUGUUUUCAUUAAUCAAGAACGAAAGUUAGGGGAUCGAAGACGAUCAGAUACCGUCGUAGUCUUAACCAUAAACUAUGCCGACUAGGGAUCGGACGAUGUUAAUUUUUUAAUGACUCGUUCGGCGCCUUACG
This 503-nucleotide ribosomal RNA is filed under the name uncultured Glomeromycotina. RNAcentral describes it as "partial small subunit ribosomal RNA". It matches the Rfam family "Eukaryotic small subunit ribosomal RNA", at positions 591 to 1092 of the family's 1831-position model. Lineage: Eukaryota; Fungi; Glomeromycota. The record is from RNAcentral.